Molecule: ribosomal RNA, 885 nt
Filed under: Paramelania iridescens
Lineage: Eukaryota; Metazoa; Mollusca; Gastropoda; Thiaridae
Description: partial 16S ribosomal RNA
Rfam family: Bacterial large subunit ribosomal RNA
Source: RNAcentral
AAGUAUGUUAGUGAGGGUUGUUAUACGUCACCAUCGACAGAUAACACAACUCACCAGGAACGCCCUUGAGGCUAAGCUCAAGGGCGAAAAAGAGAUCAGCAUGAAUCGCCAAUAGCUGUGUGAGCCUAAAAUCAGCAAUCACAAAAGUUUGUUAUAAAAUAGCUUCCUAGAAUAGAUAAAAUCUAUAUGCUUUCGCCUCAACAUUAUAUGAAGACAAAAUCCAAAACUAACAUUGAACCUAUGCCUAUGCUAGGAUGAGUAUUAUUAAAAAACUAUUACCUCGGUCCAACAUCCAUCAUGCCGAAUCUAAACAAAUUUAAUAGCACUAAGUAAAUAAAAGGAACUCGGCAAACACUCGUCCCGCCUGUUUAUCAAAAACAUGGCUCUCCGCUUUCCCCCCAUGGGGAGUCAAACCUGCCCAGUGAGUAUUUUAACGGCCGCGGUACUCUGACCGUGCAAAGGUAGCAUAAUCAUUUGCCUUAUAAUUGAAGGCUAGUAUGAAUGGUCACACGUGGGCGAUACUGUCUCUUUUUUAUUCUCUAAAAAUUAACCUUUAGGUGAAGAGGCCUAAAUUUUAUUAAAGGACAAGAAGACCCUGUCGAGCUUAAAAGACAUUAGCAGAAGUCGAUAUCGUAGAAAUAAAUAUUCUGCUUAGCUUUUUAGUUGGGGCGACUAAGGAACAAAAAAAGCUUCUUUGUAAAAUGACUACCCGCCGGCAUAGAUCCAGUACAAAUACUGAUCAGGAAAAUUAGCUACCGCAGGGAUAACAGCAUAAUCCCUCUUGAGAGAUCAUAUCGAAAGGGGGGGUUGUGACCUCGAUGUUGGACUAGAAUAUCCGAGUGAUGCAGACGUCAUUGAGGGUUGGUCUGUUCGACCAUUAAAAUU